GCCCAUGUGGCUCAAUGGUAGAGCAUCGGCCCGCACACCGAAGGGUCACGGGUUCAAUUCCCAGUCAAGGGUG
Molecule: transfer RNA, 73 nt
Filed under: Myotis davidii
Lineage: Eukaryota; Metazoa; Chordata; Mammalia; Chiroptera; Vespertilionidae
Rfam family: tRNA
About the family: Transfer RNA (tRNA) molecules are approximately 80 nucleotides in length.
Source: Rfam by way of RNAcentral